AAGACACUAAGAUUAAAGAUUUGGAAAGAUUUCUUGCAGAAGGAUGAAAGCAAUGAGGACUGUUAGCCUUGAAGUCACAAAAAUCUGAGUUGAAGUCCAGCCUCUGUGUGAUCAUGGACUAGUCACUAAUCUCCAAGUGCCCUCAGGCAAAUCUCCUGCAGACUCCCACAGUCAGUAGAGCUGAUUGAAUUAAACUAUCAGGCAUGGACUCUGUUACUCUAUCACAAUGCCAAACCUGCAUGGCAG
Molecule: long non-coding RNA, 246 nt
Organism: Phascolarctos cinereus (koala)
Lineage: Eukaryota; Metazoa; Chordata; Mammalia; Diprotodontia; Phascolarctidae
Source: RefSeq, a predicted model, not a curated record